GCAACGGCAAAAUCCGUUGUCGGGAUUAGUACCCCGCAAUUGCAAAGGCGUGAUAACGCCAGCUUUACGCUGGUUUUUU
This 79-nucleotide small RNA is filed under the name Vibrio parahaemolyticus. RNAcentral's name for it is "isrK". It matches the Rfam family "isrK Hfq binding RNA". The record is from RNAcentral. Lineage: Bacteria; Pseudomonadati; Pseudomonadota; Gammaproteobacteria; Vibrionales; Vibrionaceae.